GAUGAACGCUGGCUACAGGCUUAACACAUGCAAGUCGAGGGGAAACGACGGGGAAGCUUGCUUCCCCGGGCGUCGACCGGCGCACGGGUGAGUAACGCGUAUCCAACCUGCCUCUGACUGAGGGAUAACCCGUCGAAAGUCGGCCUAAUACCUCAUGGCAUCGUCUGCGGGCAUCCAACGACGAUUAAAGAUUUCAUCGGUCAGGGAUGGGGAUGCGUCUGAUUAGCUUGUUGGCGAGGUAACGGCCCACCAAGGCUACGAUCAGUAGGGGUUCUGAGAGGAAGGUCCCCCACAUUGGAACUGAGACACGGUCCAAAAUCGUACGGGGGGGAGCAGUGAGGAAUAUUGGUCAAUGGGCGGGAGCCUGAACCAGCCAAGUAGCGUGCAGGAUGACGGCCCUAUGGGUUGUAAACUGCUUUUAUGCGGGGAUAAAGUGAGGGACGUGUCCUUCAUUGAAGGUACCGAAUGAAUAAGGACCGGCUAAUUCCGUG
Molecule: ribosomal RNA, 491 nt
Filed under: uncultured bacterium
Lineage: Bacteria
Description: partial 16S ribosomal RNA
Rfam family: Bacterial small subunit ribosomal RNA
Source: RNAcentral